UAUCUUGUAGUUUAAUGGUAGAACAUCAUUCUUCUAAAAUGAUUAUUUGGGUUCGAUUCCCAACUAGAUAU
Molecule: non-coding RNA, 71 nt
Organism: Yamadazyma jaroonii
Lineage: Eukaryota; Fungi; Ascomycota; Pichiomycetes; Serinales; Debaryomycetaceae
Source: the annotation of a GenBank genome assembly